CCUACGGGAGGCAGCAGUGGGGAAUAUUGGGCAAUGGGCGCAAGCCUGCCCCAGCAACGCCGCGUGAAGGAAGAAGGCUUUCGGGUUGUAAACUUCUUUUAAGAGGGAAGAGCAGAAGACGGUACCUCUUGAAUAAGCCGCGGCUAACUACGUGCCAUCAGCCGCGGUAAUACGUAGGGUGCAAGCGUUGUCCGGAUUUACUGGGUGUAAAGGGCGUGCAGCCGGGAAGACAAGUCAUAUGGGAAAUCCAGCGGCUCAACCGCGGAACUGCAUUUGAAACUGGUUUUCUUGAGUACCGGAGAAGUAAGCGGAAUUCCUUGUGUAGCGUUGAAAUGCGUAGAUAUAAGGAAGAACACCAGUGGCGAAGGCGGAUGACUGGACGGCAACUGACGGUGAGGCGCGAAAGCGUGGGGAGCAAACAGGAUUAGAUACCCCUGUAGUC
Molecule: ribosomal RNA, 442 nt
Filed under: uncultured bacterium
Lineage: Bacteria
Description: partial 16S ribosomal RNA
Rfam family: Bacterial small subunit ribosomal RNA
Source: RNAcentral